This is a non-coding RNA of Pelobates cultripes (western spadefoot toad), 239 nucleotides long. NCBI's taxonomy places the organism in Eukaryota, Metazoa, Chordata, Amphibia, Anura, Pelobatidae. The record is from the annotation of a GenBank genome assembly.
GCUUAAUGGGUUUAAUCUAAAUAUAGAUAGAAACAUUGAAAACAUGUCAAAGUCAAUGGGUGCCAGAAAUCACUUAUUCGUAAGACAAAGCUAGGUAAAGGAAACCAAAAAAUACAGGAUAGUCAGGGUAAGGCCAUGUCAAUUACCAAAAUAGACAAUAGAUGAAUUAAGCACACUCUUAGGACACCAAGAAUUCACAACUGCUCAAUCUGAUUGAUAUCUAGGGAAUUUGGGGGCCA